AGUCGAACGAUGAAGCCCAGCUUGCUGGGUGGAUUAGUGGCGAACGGGUGAGUAACACGUGAGUAACCUGCCCUUAACUCUGGGAUAAGCCUGGGAAACUGGGUCUAAUACCGGAUAGGAGCGUCCACCGCAUGGUGGGUGUUGGAAAGAUUUAUCGGUUUUGGAUGGACUCGCGGCCUAUCACUUGUUGGUGACGUAAUGGCUCACCAAGGCGACGACGGGUAGCCGGCCUGAGAGGGUGACCGGCCACACUGGGACUGAGACACGGCCCAGACUCCUACGGGAGGCAGCAGUGGGGAAUAUUGCACAAUGGGCGAAAGCCUGAUGCAGCGUCGCCGCGUGAGGGAUGACGGCCUUCGGGUUGUAAACCUCUUUCAGUAGGGAAGAAGCGAAAGUGACGGUACCUGCAGAAGAAGCACCGGCUAACUACGUGCCAGCAGCCGCGGUAAUACGUAGGGUGCGAGCGUUAUCCGGAAUUAUUGGGCGUAAAGAGCUCGUAGGCGGUUUGUCGCGUCUGUCGUGAAAGUCCGGGGCUUAACCCCGGAUCUGCGGUGGGUACGGGCAGACUAGAGUGCAGUAGGGGAGACUGGAAUUCCUGGUGUAGCGGUGGAAUGCGCAGAUAUCAGGAGGAACACCGAUGGCGAAGGCAGGUCUCUGGGCUGUAACUGACGCUGAGGACCGAAAGCAUGGGGAGGAACAGGAUUAGAUACCCUGGUAGUCCAUGCCGUAAACGUUGGGCACUAGGUGUGGGGACCCUUCCACGGUUUCCGCGCCGCAGCUAACGCAUUAAGUGCCCCGCCUGGGGAGUACGGCCGCAAGGCUAAAACUCAAAGGAAUUGACGGGGGCCCGCACAAGCGGCGGAGCAUGCGGAUUAAUUCGAUGCGACGCGAAGAACCUUACCAAGGCUUGACAUGUUCCCGAUCGCCGUAGAGAUACGAUUUCCCCUUUGGGGCGGGUUCACAGGUGGUGCAUGGUUGUCGUCAGCUCGUGUCGUGAAUGUUGGGUUAAGUCCCGCUACGAGCGCAACCCUCGUUCCAUGUUGCCAGCACGUAAUGGUGGGGACUCAUGGGAGACUGCCGGGGUCAACUCGGAGGAAGGUGA
RNAcentral lists this ribosomal RNA (1102 nucleotides) under Micrococcus luteus. Its description in RNAcentral is "bacterial SSU rRNA". It matches the Rfam family "Bacterial small subunit ribosomal RNA", at positions 60 to 1176 of the family's 1533-position model. Lineage: Bacteria; Bacillati; Actinomycetota; Actinomycetes; Micrococcales; Micrococcaceae. The record is from RNAcentral.